UGGGGAAUCUUCCGCAAUGGACGAAAGUCUGACGGAGCAACGCCGCGUGAGUGAAGAAGGAUUUCGGUUCGUAAAACUCUGUUGUUAGGGAAGAAAAAAUGUAUAGUAACUAUAUACAAAAGAGACGGUACCUAACCAGAAAGCCACGGCUAACUACGUGCCAGCAGCCGCGGUAAUACGUAGGUGGCAAGCGUUGUCCGGAAUUAUUGGGCGUAAAGCGCGCGCAGGUGGUUUAGAAAGUCUGAUGUGAAAGCCCACGGCUCAACCGUGGAGGGUCAUUGGAAACUAAUAAACUUGAGUGCAGGAGAGAAAAGUGGAAUUCCUAGUGUAGCGGUGAAAUGCGUAGAGAUUAGGAGGAACACCGGUGGCGAAAGCGGCUUUUUGGCCUGCAACUGACACUGAGGCGCGAAAGCGUGGGGAGCAAACAGG
RNAcentral lists this ribosomal RNA (429 nucleotides) under Verrucomicrobiota bacterium. RNAcentral describes it as "Verrucomicrobia bacterium partial 16S ribosomal RNA". It matches the Rfam family "Bacterial small subunit ribosomal RNA", at positions 355 to 776 of the family's 1533-position model. Lineage: Bacteria; Pseudomonadati; Verrucomicrobiota. The record is from RNAcentral.